AUAUGAAAUGGACUAAAGGUUUACCGCUUAGGGAUGGGGAUGCGUCUGAUUAGGCAGUAGGCGGGGUAACGGCCCACCUAGCCGACGAUCAGUAGGGGUUCUGAGAGGAAGGUCCCCCACAUUGGAACUGAGACACGGUCCAAACUCCUACGGGAGGCAGCAGUGAGGAAUAUUGGUCAAUGGGCGGAAGCCUGAACCAGCCAAGUAGCGUGCAGGAUGACGGCCCUAUGGGUUGUAAACUGCUUUUAUACGGGGAUAAAACGGGGGACGUGUCCCUCCUUGCAGGUACCGUAUGAAUAAGGACCGGCUAAUUCCGUGCCAGCAGCCGCGGUAAUACGGAAGGUCCGGGCGUUAUCCGGAUUUAUUGGGUUUAAAGGGAGCGUAGGCCGCAGAUUAAGUGUGUUGUGAAAUGUAGAGGCUCAACCUCUGAAUUGCAGCGCAUACUGGUCUGCUUGAGUACGCACAACGUAGGCGGAAUUUGUCGUGUAGCGGUGAAAUGCUUAGAUAUGACGAAGAACUCCGAUUGCGAAGGCAGCUUACGGGAGCGCAACUGACGCUGAAGCUCGAAAGUGCGGGUAUCGAACAGGAUUAGAUACCCUGGUAGUCCGCACGGUAAACGAUGGAUGCCCGCUGUUGGCCCACCUGGGUCAGCGGCCAAGCGAAAGCAAUAAGCAUCCCACCUGGGGAGUACGCCGGCAACGGUGAAACUCAAAGGAAUUGACGGGGGCCCGCACAAGCGGAGGAACAUGUGGUUUAAUUCGAUGAUACGCGAGGAACCUUACCCGGGCUCAAACGCAUAGUGCUAUCCCCUGAAAGGGGGAGUUCUUCGGACAUUAUGCGAGGUGCUGCAUGGUUGUCGUCAGCUCGUGCCGUGAGGUGUCGGCUUAAGUGCCAUAACGAGCGCAACCCCCAUCUUCAGUUGCCACCGGGUCAUGCCGGGCACUCUGGAGAGACUGCCGGCGCAAGCUGUGAGGAAGGCGGGGAUGACGUCAAAUCAGCACGGCCCUUACGUCCGGGGUGACACACGUGUUACAAUGGCGGGGCUACAGAGGGAAGCCAGGUGGCGACACCGAGCGGAUCCCGAAAACCCGUCUCAGUUCGGAUCGGAGUCUGCAACCCGACUCCGUGAAGCUGGAUUCGCUAGUAAUCGCGCAUCAGCCAUGGCGCGGUGAAUACGUUCCCGGGCCUUGUACUCACCGCCCGUCAAG
This 1208-nucleotide ribosomal RNA is filed under the name uncultured bacterium. RNAcentral's name for it is "bacterial SSU rRNA". It matches the Rfam family "Bacterial small subunit ribosomal RNA", at positions 189 to 1401 of the family's 1533-position model. The record is from RNAcentral.